AAAAAUGAACGUUGGCGGCAUGGAUUAGGCAUGCAAGUCGCGCGACAAGCCAUUUUUAGCUUGCUAUUGAUGGUGGAGGAGCGGCGAAAGGGGGAGUAACGCGUGGAUCACCUACCCAGGGGGGCGGAAUAGCGGCUGGAAACGGCCGGUAAUGCCGCAUGAUGUCUCCGGACCAAAGCCCAGGCGCCCUUGGACGGGUCCGCGUAUCAUUAGCUAGUUGGGGGGGUAAAGGCCUACCAAGGCUGAGAUGAUUAGUGGGCGUGAGAGCGUGGCCCACCACACUGGGACUGAGACACUGCCCAGACACCUACGGGGGGCUGCAGUCGAGAAUCUUUUUCAAUGGACGCAAGUCUGAACAAGCGAUGCCGCGUGCGGGAUGAAGGCCUUCGGGUUUUAAACCGCUGUCAGAGGGGAGCAAAUUUUGAGCGAUCCUCAGAGGAAGCCCGGGCUAAGUUCGUGCCAGCAGCCGCGGUAACACGAACCGGGCAAACGUUAUUCGGAAUCACUGGGCUUAAAGGGGGCGUAGGCGGCGCUAUAAGUCGGGGGUGAAAUCCCACGGCCCAACCGUGGAACUGCGCCCGAUACUGUAGUGCUUGAGGGAGAUAGAGGGGAACGGAACGAAUGGGGGAGCGGUGAAAUGCGUCGAUAUCAUUCGGAACACCCGUGGCGAAAGCGGCUCACUGGGUCUCUUUUGACGCUGAGGCACGAAAGCUAGGGGAGCGAACGGGACUAGAUACCCCGGUAGUCCUAGCUGUAAACGAUGAGCACUAGAUCGGGGAGUCCUUUCACACCUCCCGAUCGUAGCGAAAGUGUUAAGUGCUCCGCUUU
This 828-nucleotide ribosomal RNA is filed under the name uncultured Planctomycetota bacterium. RNAcentral describes it as "bacterial SSU rRNA". It matches the Rfam family "Bacterial small subunit ribosomal RNA", at positions 25 to 875 of the family's 1533-position model. Lineage: Bacteria; Pseudomonadati; Planctomycetota. The record is from RNAcentral.